UUCUCCCAUCACAGCAGCAGUGACCACGCGCACGCACAGACACGCAGACGCAAGAUCGGCCGACUGAGGAGGGCACACACGCGAGGAAAAGCUAAAUAAGAAGGCGUGGGUAGAAACGCGCGCACAUCACUCAUCAUCACCGGCACGCCCGCCCCGCCACACCCCUUCCCCCUUCACUCUCGGCCGCACCGGCGAUCGCUUCUUCAUUCUCCAGUAUUCGCGUGCGCCUCAUGUAUCCAGAGAGACGGCCCUAUGCGACAACCAUGCCGCAUAGCGGGUACCGAGCGAAGCCGUUCGUCCCGCAGCCGCCGAAGGAUGCACUGAUGAUGCUGCGCUCCCACAUCGGCUACGAUGACCUGCAGAGUGGUGGCAGCGAUCAACCAGUCUCGUUUCUGCGCUCGGCGGCAGGGCGCACUUACCUCGCGGACGGCAGCUCUGCAUUGUCGUCGACGCAGUUGACCGCAGCGCAGAAGCUGUUGCCUCUCACCGGUCGGAGCUCGCAGGCGGCGCUGGACGCGGCGCGGCUGGAGCCCCCGAUCGAGCACGCGUCUGUGAUGUACCAUGGCUGUCAGCAGGCCGUCUUGAACGCGGAGUUACGGGAGAAGGUGGAGGCGCACUGCAAACACUGGUCCGCCCGCGUGGAGGAGCUCCAGGCACUCUUGUCUGAUCUCCCGACGGAGAGCGCGCUGCACAACACGCGCGCAGUGGAGAACCUGCACUCGUACCUUGGCGCCUACAGGUGCACUGAGGACAUGCUAGUCACGCCUUCUGAGGUGGCGGAGCAGCACGCGCUGCGCACGCCGGUGCCGGAGAUAGACGUCAUGUCUCAGAUGCCGGCGAUCCCGAUGGACACGAUGCGGCGCGCGCUGGACGACCUGCUGCGAUCGCCGUACCUGCUGGCGCCGCUGGACACGCACCUGGCGCAUCUGAGCUUGCUAGACAAGCUCGGGCAACUGUCGUGGUCGGGCGAGGGCGAGGUGACGGUGCCUCCUUCGAAGAAGCCGCGGGGGCAGCGAGCGGCAGCUCGCAAGGAUUGCACGGUAAACGAAUCGGAAGAGACGGGAGUGGUGCUGCAGGCCGAGGAAGCGGCCGCGGAGGAGGACAUCUACCCCUCUCGCGCAGCUGUUGCUAUGCACGAGCGCCUGCACUACAACCCUGGCGACUACGCGCAGCGCGAGCUGAAGAAGUCCGAGGAGGCUCUCCGUGAGUUGCAGGACCGCGUGCAGACCGCCAAGCGUCAGAAGGAGGAGGCUAUCGACGCGGCUGACCCACUCACCGCCCUGCGCAACCUGCACGCGCAGGUUGACUUCUCGAACGAUCUCCUGCUGCUGUACAGGGCCCGCAUGGCGCUCGUCUCACUGCACUCAGACGACACCCGCGACUUUCGCCGUGAUGUGGUGGAUCUGAUCGACGACAGCCAUCAGUCAGUGCAGGCGGUGCAUAGGUAUGCCAGGGAGGCGCUGCCCAGCGUGCAACACGACGUCCGUGCCCUGACAGAGGUCGUUCGGCAGACGCAGCAGCAGCUGAUCGCCAUGCAGGCGACGGAGGCUGCAGCCGACGCGGACAUGCGGUCCCACCUGUGCGACAUGGACAAGGCCGCCCGUGUGCUGUGGGAGGAGGUAGGCGCACUGCUCGAGAAGAUCGCUGAAAAUGCACGCGAGCGCGGCCGCUACGCACAGAAAUGUAUGUCGUUGCGUGAACAGCGUGCCAAGGAGGCGGCGGCGGUGCAUGCACAGCUGCAGGCGCAGUCGGCCCACUGCGAGCGCCUGUGCCGCUGCGAGGAGGUGCUGACGCGAUGGAAUCAGGCUGGUGACUUGUUCGGCAAGUAUGUGGACGCGUGCGUGCCGAAGCUGCUGAAACACCUCGCGGCGGUCGAGGAGAGCGACGCUGACCUCGCCCAACGUGAAGCAGAGGAGUACGUGGGCUACUACGAGCAAUUUGUGUACGCGGCUGAGGAGGCCAGAGCGAAGCGAUGCACGCAGGCGGACCGCAUGCGGCUCUUGCAGCGCAGCACUCUGCUGAACCAAGAGCGCGCGAGUGACACGAUGGACCCCGACGCCGCUGCGCACGCUCAGCGCCUGGAUGACGUCUCACGCGAGCUGGACGAGGUGCAGCUGUACCUGAAGUACGUCUCCGACAUGGAGGCAGACCGAAAAGCCGAGGUGGACCCGGUGUUGAGGGGCGUCCUGGCACGGCAAACGCAGGCCCAGCUGAUCACGACCGGCGAGGAGGGCGAGGCCGAGAAGCCGCUCCCCACGCCGGGCAUGCUGGAGGAUGCGCCUGCUGCAUCUGCAGCCGAUGCCAAGCCGUCCCCGGCCUCGCCCUCGACGGCCUCUGAGGCCACGAAGAGCACUGCUGCCGCUCCGGCAACGGCAGCAGGUGACGGCGCUGUCGUCGCAGCCACCACCACCACCGCCACCACCGCUCCACCUUCUCUCUCGGUCACGGUCGCUCACCCCUUCGUCACUGCCCGCCUGAUCGGUCUGGCGCACGAGAGCGACUACCUCUCUCAGCAAGGGCAGUUGCUGGGGCAAGAGAUGCAGGCAGUGGAGACGAAGUGGACGGGGCUGCGCCACAGUCGCGAGGAGCUGCAAGCCAUGGAGGAAAAGUAUAAGAACGGCGACGACAUCCGUGCGCUGCUCGGUGUGGACAAGCCGUAGAUGUGUAGUUGGUGAGGGAUAGAGGCAGCAGCGGCAGCAUCCUCCCAACGCUUCUUAUCUGCUGCGCCGCUGCCUCCAGACGAGCAUGUACAUUAGUUUCGCUUGCUUCACUUCCUUUUCUAUUCUUCUCGCUUCCAAACCUCUUUGCCCGCGCGUCUCCACGCACGUGUGGGUGUGGGCCACUAGCUGAUGAAGGUGGUGGUGGUGGUGAGACGGCCUAGACACGCCGUUGCUGCCCCCCUCCUUCCCGUUUUGUGGUCUCUCAAUGUAUAUUUAAGUCUAUGUGUAUGCCGUUCGUUGGGCAAUAGUGCGCACGGAUGCGAUCUAAGGAUGUACAUAGAGCGUCGGGGUCCAUGUACUCGCUGUCGAGAAGCCCUGCCUUUCGUUGUAUCGUUCCCGUCUUCCUCUCGUGCUGGCUCCCUUGUGUACGUGUGAUCGAUCGAUGCUCAUUGGACUACGACGCCGAACCAGGCAUCGACACUGGGACGCCCACGUACACUCCGAGGCACCCGCUCUCACGGACCCACGUGCCAGCGCGGGUGCGUCGCUCGCCUGCCCAUUUCAGCGGACACCCUCUGUCUCUCCAUCUUCGUUAUCCUUUUGCUUCAUGAUGUCGCUGCCAUUGGGCUUCACCUCAUGUUCAGUGCAUCCGUCUGCGCCGACCCUCUUGCUCUCUGCUCAUGCGCGCACACGCACCUGCGCCUAGCCAUACACGCGCG
RNAcentral lists this unclassified non-coding RNA (3379 nucleotides) under Leishmania donovani. RNAcentral's name for it is "gene:LdHU3.07.0390(CDS-product:Paraflagellar_rod_ protein_putative)". The record is from RNAcentral. Lineage: Eukaryota; Euglenozoa; Kinetoplastea; Trypanosomatida; Trypanosomatidae.